This 253-nucleotide ribosomal RNA is filed under the name uncultured bacterium. RNAcentral's name for it is "partial 16S ribosomal RNA". It matches the Rfam family "Bacterial small subunit ribosomal RNA", at positions 524 to 776 of the family's 1533-position model. The record is from RNAcentral.
UACAGAGGUGGCAAGCGUUGUUCGGAAUUACUGGGCGUAAAGGGCGCGUAGGCGGCCUUCUCAGUCAGACGUGAAAUCCCCCGGCUUAACCUGGGAACUGCGUCUGAUACUGGAAGGCUCGAGUAUGGGAGAGGGAUGUAGAAUUCCAGGUGUAGCGGUGAAAUGCGUAGAUAUAUGGAGGAAUACCGGUGGCGAAGGCGGCAUCCGGGACCAUUACUGACGCUGAGGCGCGAAAGCUAGGGGAGCAAACGGG